AGUUUUGCACAGUGGCAGUAUCAUAGCCAAGGACGUUUAUCUGAGGUGUGAUUAUUGCUGACUGAAAUUUUUCCCAGUCCCCCGCCAUGAUGACUUGAAAUAUAGUCGGCAUUGGGAAUUUUUCACAGUCUCUACGGAGA
Small nuclear RNA from Camelus dromedarius (Arabian camel), 140 nucleotides. Its record names the gene U4. It matches the Rfam family "U4 spliceosomal RNA". From Rfam's summary of the family: U4 small nuclear RNA (U4 snRNA) is a component of the major U2-dependent spliceosome. The structure of U4 snRNA from yeast and human has been reported. The record is from Ensembl. NCBI's taxonomy places the organism in Eukaryota, Metazoa, Chordata, Mammalia, Artiodactyla, Camelidae.